This 11863-nucleotide unclassified non-coding RNA is filed under the name Leishmania donovani. Its description in RNAcentral is "gene:LdHU3.02.0370(CDS-product:ATP-binding_casset te_subfamily_A_member_1_putative)". Lineage: Eukaryota; Euglenozoa; Kinetoplastea; Trypanosomatida; Trypanosomatidae. The record is from RNAcentral.
ACCUCUGACGCACACACACGCACACGCGAAAAGGUAUGUUGCAUGGGUAUAUACACAGCUCUCUCCAUACGCAACAACAUACCUGAUCUGCCUUUCUUAUUGGUGUGCGCGUGCGCUUAGCCGUCGCUGUAGGAGAGAGAGAGCCCUGAUAGGAGACGACGAAGACGGAGAAGGCCGCGCCUCUCUCUCUCUCUGUGUGUGUGUGUGGGGAGGGGUUCUCUCUCUCUAUCCUUGCCCUUCCCUUCAUCAUCGUCGUCCACAUCCACACCGCUGCAUGUGUAUACAGCUGCUUCCCCCUCCCCCUCCCCCAUUCCACUCCCUCUCCGCUUCGUCAUUGACCGCCGCUCGCUCGUUUCUGAAUGUAUCCUCUUGUUUGCCUUGCUUCCUCGUUUCGUGCCCUUGUGCGCUAUACACAUCCGCCAACCCCCCUCCCCCCGUCUCCGUCUCCGUCUUCCUCUCCCUCCCUCUCUCUUCCUCUUCUUUCCGCCUUCGUUGCAUCAUCCCUCUCCGUGUGAAAGCCGCGGCGGCGGCGCACGCGCACACGGCUGCGCCCCUCCCCCGGAACCCCCGUUCCGGCCGCCGCGCGCUUCAUCCCACGCACGUAAAGAGGGGGCGCGAGUGAUUUGCCUUUGUGCUGUGUUGUGCGCCUUCGUUCAUUGGUGCCCAGGGCGAAUUCGCCGUUACAUAUAAAACGGAGAAGAGAGGGCGGGCGGGAGGGAGAGAAGAGAGUGAGCGAGUGGGGGGGGCAGCGGCGGCGUGUGCGCCCUCCGCUACGCGAGCAGCGGAGGAGAGGUGCGGAGGUGUUCGCGCGGACGCGAAGAGGCGUGGGCUCUCUUCCUCCCCCAGUCUCCUGUCGUUUCUUCUUUCCGAGACGCCGGCCAGCGUGGUAGUGCGCCCUCAACGGAGUUGCUGAGUGAUGAAUCGCGCACCGCUGCCCCCCGCUCCGCAAGGCGGCUCGGCAGCGACGCCGGCGCCACCAGGUCAGCGCUCCUCUUUCGCAUCUCCGGCGAUGCCUCCGUCUUCGCCGCGGGCAGACUUUGUGUCUCCGUCGGCGCAGCGACGUACCGAGGCAGGAGCCGGUUACUACGGCGGGCUCCCGCCCGCCGCAGCGGCAGCGGUUCCACAAUCUGAUGCGCCAUAUGCCUCUACGGGCGCUUGGGGCAGUGGCGCCAGAAGUGCGAGGUGCCAGAUUCCGGUGUACACUUCCGCCUUUGGCCAUCCUCCCUCCCAGAGCCUGAGCCGCCCAUGCGCGGCGCCACCCCCGCCUCAGCAGCGGGCGCGCAGCCACGGGCUCGAACCGCCGCGGAUCGAGCGUGAGCUGCAGUACCGCCGCAUAGCGAUUGGCCCCAUCGGCUGGACAAGGGAGGCCUUCCAACCUAUGUCGACCGCCUCGCCAGCGUCAGCCGGUGCCCCCGCUGUGAGUGGGGGCCGCUGCCCUUCCUUACAGCGGACAAGGCGCGCCAGUACGGCACCCCCCUUGGAGGCCUGCGAGUCUUCCUUAUCGUCGACAUGGCCGAUGCCGAUCGACACACGCCAGCAGCAGGUGAGGCGUGAUAGCAGCGGAAGCGUGGCGACGGGGGCCAUCACGACAGCCAUGCACGAUGUUUUGCCUGGAGGCUUGACCGGUGACCGGCCGUUCACGUCGCCGCCGUCAGCCGUGGCCUCUCUUAGCCCAGGUGAACAGCUGCCCUCGGCAGCGCUUGCAGCGGAGCCUCCGCAAGUGCAGUCGCUGGCGCCCCCGGCGGCGACGGCGCUCAUCUCGACGAGCCAAGCGGCGCGUGGCCCCGGCGCGGGCGCACCUGGCUCUUCGCGCUUCGAUGUCGAUGCACCCCUCCCCCUUGAAGACCGACGCUUCGCGCGGCUGGGCGCCGGCAGCUGCGGCACCGACAGCUACACGAUGCACAGCGAUAGCACGCCUAGCAGCAACGUUACCAUGGGCUUCGCCUACGCCGAUCCAGAGGGGCACAGGAAUGCCGGCAACGCCGCCGCGAACAGAGGCGGCAGCAGUAGCAGCGCUAUGGAGAGUGAUGUAGGCGACUUCGCCAGCGAGUAUUACGGUAGCAUGCCUACCUCCGGCCUCGGACACGACGGGCACAGCCGCGCCGACGACGCCCGCACGGGCAACCUGAGAGCACCCUUCGGCCACGGCAGCGCGCUAGACUACUGGGAUACCGUGACCACGUCUCCGUUCUCGGAGUCCCAUACACUGACGACUAUGCACGGCGGCGGCGCCGACGACCUCGCAAGCCCGACGGCUGGCAGUGCCGGAUGGACUCAUAAUGACUCCAGCACGUGGCUGGACCAGCUUGGGGCGACCAUUUCUCGCGAUAUGAUCGAGCGGCGCCGUCGCUGGGGCAGCGUGGUGCUGGAGAUUGCGAUCCCGCUUGUGUGCACGCUCUGUGUGGUGGCGCUGUGGGCCGCCUUUGGCGUUACUUCCUCGCCGGACUACAGCUCGCUGGCCUCUAUCGGUGAUAAAGGCUACAACUUCGCGGCUGGCAGGUACCUGGAGGAACUCUGCUACAACGAGACGUGGUUUGGGGAGCGGAACUACAUCGACGGACUGCGCCCCUGCAGCAGCCUAGACGCUUCGUCACUGAGACCAGUGAUUUGCAACACGGUCGGCGAGGAGGAGCUGCCCGUGAAGGGGCUGUGCUACAAACAAGAGGGCCGGGGGCUUGCCGACUUUCUCGGCGGUAUGCGCAACGGCCUCGCGCGGGUGAUGCCGCUAGACGACAUCAUCGCCCACCAGUGGAUGGCCAAAAAGUUGUCCUCUAAGGAUUCGGCGGCGAUGGCGCUGCUGAUCGGCGCGGGGCUCUUCUCCCACACGCGCAUCAACGCUAUCCAGUCGUCCGGCAAGCUGUACUUCGCCCCAAGCGAAAACGUGCCACUCGACAUGCUCCAGUACCUGUCCAGCAGCUCUAGGCUUUUUCAGUACGUCUACAAUGAUACCUUCGACACCGUCGAGGAGGCGCACCGCGUGAUCAAGAGCGGCGAGCGUGGACCCACAUGGGCUCUCGUGAACAUCCGCCAGCUGGACGAGAACGGCUUGGAUUUGUCUAUCGAAAUGGUCUCGACAGCACUGCCGGAGUUCACGGCGAUGGUGGACAAGGCGUACUCCGGCGGCGGGGGCUACGAUCGAUCCAACAUGUAUUACACGAGCGGCUACCCGUCCUUGAUGGACGCGCUUGUGAAGUACUACCUCAUGUCCCUGUACGCGGCCGGCGCGACGCGCGCUGAAACAGGCAGCGUUCAGGCCCUGGCGGAGAGGCGGGCGGCGCAACAACAGCGGCAACAGGCGCAGGCAGCGACUGACGACUCGGUGAACGUGGUUCUGGAUACGCACGAACUGCUCGACGCUGUGCGGGCGGCGCGGGAACCAGUGGGCAGCGGUGCACAGUCCUUCACCGAUGCCGUCGAGUUGGGCAAAUCCUCGGCGGCCGUUACGUCACAGAAAGCCUCCAGCAUCCUGGCGACAAGCGCGGCCCUUCGCGCGAAGACGAGCUUCACGAUCUUCCUGGGCAGCAUGCCAUGGGUGCCCUUCAAGACGAGCCAGGUGCUGACUUCUGCGAACACAAUCAUCGGCUUUGUUAUCGUGAUGGCGUUUCUCUACCCCGUCUCGCAGUUGACGCGGCGGCUCGUGCUGGAGAAGGAGCGGCGCGUGCGGGAGGCGACGCUGAUCAUGGGGCUCAGGCCGGCCUAUUUUUGGUGCAGCUGGUUCCUUUACAGCGUCGCCCUCAUGCUCACGAUAUCCCUCUUCAUGACGCUGCUGAUGUGCACAACGUUCCUGACGAAGAGCGACGCCUUCAGCGUGCUUCUUGUCCUUGUCAUGUUCUCCCUCACGUGCGUGCCGCUGUCGGGGCUGAUGGCCACUUUCUACGACACGUCGCGGAUGGCGGUCCUCAUGACGCCACUCCUCUACUUUUCCAUGUCUUUGCUGGUCUUUGCGAUCUAUUCGGCGAGCCCAGCCGUCUACCUCGUCCUCAGCAUCUUCUCGCCCGCCUGCUUCGCGAUCAUCCUGCAGAUCGUGCUCGCCCGGGAGAGCGGCGACGGCUUUGCUGCGAUGAUCUUUCUGGACCCAAACGACAACCCCAACACCGCCACGCUCUUGGGAUUCCUCGCCCUGGACUUUGGUGCGUAUCUGCUGCUCAUGUUCUACCUCGAUGCGGUGCUGCCCAAGGCGGUCGGUGUGCCGAAGCACCCGCUCUACUUCAUCCUAGACCCGAUCCGGCAUUGCCGUCGCAGGCGUGCGGAAAGGGCGUGGCAGGCGGAACAGCGGCGGCGUCAAGCGACGUCUACCACCGACGGCGGCAGUGGCGCGGGGGAGGCCCUGCAGCCGCCACCAACGCAGAGGGGGGGGACUCAUGAUACCAAAGAGGGGACGUACGGCGGUAGCGAUGGCUGGUGUUGCACUGGGCACAGCGCUGCAACGGAUGACGACGACGAGGAUCUGUUCGACGGCGAGGACGCCCGUGAUCCGAACGGCGUGUACGAGGCGGAGACCUUCACGCCGGAGCAGCUGUCCGUGCGCAUUAUCGGCCUCCGCAAGUUCUUCGAGCACGGUGGCCGCCGCUUCGUCGCGGUGCGGAACUUCUGCUGGCAGCUGCCGAACGCCGGCAUCUCCGUGCUGCUGGGGCACAACGGCGCCGGCAAGUCGACGCUGAUCAACAUGAUGACGGGCAUGCUCUACCCGGAUGGCGGGGACUGCUACAUCGGCGGCCACUCCAUUCGCCUCGAUCUGGCGCGCGCCCGCCACCAGAUCGGUUUCUGUCCGCAGCACAACAUUCUCUGGCCGGAGCUGACGUGCCGUGAGCACCUCGAGUUCUUUGCGCGGCUGAAGGGGCUGCGCGGGGCGGCGCUGGAAGAUGCUGUGAUGCACACCCUCAAGGAGGUGGAUCUUGUGAAUAAGCAGAACGACCCAACACGCGUUCUCUCGGGCGGCAUGAAGCGGAAGCUUUCGGUUGCCAUCGCGUUUGUAGGUGGCAGCAGCCUCGUCUUCCUCGAUGAGCCGACCGCCGGCAUGGACGUGGCGGCGCGGCGGCACACGUGGAGGCUGUUGCUGCGCAUGUCGCGCAGCCGAAGCGUACUGCUGACCACGCACUUUAUGGACGAGGCGGACUUGCUCGGUGACCGGGUGGCCAUCAUGAGCCGUGGCCAGCUCAAGUGCGCUGGCAGCUCACUCUUCUUGAAGUCGCGGCUCGGUAUCGGGUACAACAUCACCAUCUCUGUCGACGAGCUGCUACGCGUCCGUGAUCUCGACGCCUUUUUGCAGCAGCACGUGCCGCAGGCGGAGCGCUUGACAAGCAGCGGCGGCGAGGUCGGCUACCGCCUGCCUGCGAAGCAAGCGGAGCGCUUCCCAGGACUGCUGAGCGCGCUCGACACGGUUGGGCCGCUGAUCGGCAUUCGCGGCUACGCCAUCUCUCCCACAACACUGGAGGAGGUGUUUCUGACGAUCGCCCGCGACGCCGCGGAGGAUGACAAGAGGCGAGCGAAGGCGGAGGGCGCAGCCGCCGUGGCUGCCGUGGCGGACAAGAAAAGUUGCCUGCCGGACCUCUGGCAUCGUUUACGCUGCUGCUGCUGCCGCGGUGGCGGUAAGCACCAGGGCGACCACUCCUCCAGCGACGAGUUUGACUGGGACGAUGAUGACGAGGACGGCCAUCGCAACGCCGGCUACUUGCGCGACACCUCCGGCGUGCACCCGCCGGAGGUGUCCCCGUACUUGGCGCUGGACCGAAAUAUCAGCCCGAUGCAGCAUCAGUCAGCGUCCUUGGCCCCAGGCUCGGAACAGCUUCAGAGUUGCUCGGGCCCAACGAGGACGGGCUACAUGGGGGGCUGCAAUCGCAAUAGUGCGCGCACCUCGGAAAGCCGCACCCCUUCCAGGUCCUCGUCGAGGCUCGUGAGACCGGCGACGUCUGCCGUUUCCAAAGCCGCCGACCGUGCAUCACAGGAGGACGCGGCCAGCAGCCGAGAGUCUAUGCAGUCGACAGAAGAGCAUGCGAUGACGACGAGCGCGGAGGACGCGGAACACUCUCUACCGCGUGCCCCGGCCGCCGCUGACGUCACCCCGGUCGCGGCAGCGGCAGCAGCGGCAGCCGUAACGACAACGGUGGCGCCGACGAUAGCGAAGGGCGCUUUUCCGGGUGACAUUAUCUGGAACUGCGAGGUUGCUUUCUCGACCGCGACUGUGAGUCUCCUGCAGACGGAGGCGAUGAUGCGCAAGCGGUUCUGCAACAUGAAGCGCGAUCGCAAGGCGCUCUGCUUCCAGAUGAUCUGCCCUGCCGCAUGCAUCCUGCUAGCGAUGCUGCUGAACUUGGCGGGAACGUAUACCGUCAGAGAGCUGAGGCUAAACACGAGCAACUACCCAUACGACACGCUGUGGGACACGACGGGUUGUGCGGGCUACUUCAACGGAAGCUUCAGCGAUGUUGCCGCGUCGCUUGCACGAAACCAGCGCACGCGCGACUUGCGCACGGCAAGUCUGUCGGACUUCUACUACUUCCUCCAAGACGAGUGGUUCGCGCAUGGCAAAGUCGGCAAGUACAGCGGCCUCGCGUGCGGCGACCCUGUGGUGGCGAUGCUGCCUUCGAUCGAUCUCAACCCCGUCGUGUUGCUGACCAACUACUCCGCUUAUCACGAGUUUCCUAUAGCCAUGGUGAACUUCUACAAUCUGCUCUUGAAGGAGGCUCGCGGCCCGUCCGUGUCCAUCACGGCGAGCGCCGGCACGCUGCCGUCGAGCUUCGCGCUUGUCUCAGAGAGAAGCAUCAAGCUGCUGCUGACGGCCAUCAUCAUUAUAGUGCCCUUCACCUUUCUCCCCUCGAACUGCGUGGCCUGGGUGGUGAAGGAGCGGGAGUGCCGGUCGCGCCACCUGCAGGACAUCUGCGGCCUGCGCUACCUCGUCUACUGGUUCAGCAACUUCGUGUUCGACUUCACGGCGUACGCCGUGACGAUGCUGCUCGUUGUGACGAUAUUUGCCGUCUUCCAACGCGAGGAGUACAUCGGCGUCGACACGGCUGGCGCGACGUUCACGCUGCUUUUGGUCUUCGGCUUCUGCAGCACGACCACGGCGUACUUUGUGCAGUUCUUCUUCGCGACCCACUCCAGCGCGCAGAGCAUCGUCAUGGCGGCCGGCUUCAUAACAGGCUUCCUUCUGGUCAUCAUCGUAUUCGUGCUUCGACUCUUGCCGUCGACAGAGGCGACGUCGCACAGGUUGGGCUGGGUGUUCCGCAUCUUUCCCACCUACGCCGUCAGCGAAGGCAUCGUGAAUCUCGCCCUGCUCUCGCACUUCCAAUCAUCGGACGAGAGCUUGACAGCCUUCUCCAUGCAGACUAUCGGCUGGCCGUGCGUGUACAUGGCGGUGGAGGGGCCGCUGUUUCUCAUUCUUACGCUGCUGAUCGACCACCCAUACUGGCGAAUGAGGCUGCUGCUGCGGGGCUACGACGCACACGGCGACGCCACCGCUCUCGCACGCGCUCAACGGAGCGCGGAGCAGGGCAAAGGCGGCGAUGCGCACCGUCGGCGUCAUGGCAGCCAUCAGCACGGAGAGCAACAAGACGUGAGUGAGAGUACCGAUGACGGUGCCGAAGAGGACAGCGACGUCGAGGACGAGCGGGCCGAGGUGCAGCGGCGCAUGGAGGCAUACCGCGAAGACCUGAAGCGGCAGGAGAACAUGUACAAGGUGGGCGAUACUGCCGACUCCGCAUCCUUUGGGAUGGCGGCGACUAGCACAACUGGGGGCACCGGCGGUGACUUCCCGAGCUUCGGCGCUAAGCUGCCUAUCAUCGACGCCGUCGCGGUCGUCGGCUUGCGCAAGCAGUAUGAUAGCGGCAAGGUGGCUGUGCACGAUGUCUCCUUCGGCGUCGUGCCGGGCGAGGUCUUUGGCCUUCUCGGCACGAAUGGCGCUGGCAAGACAACGACGAUGUCGAUCCUGUGCCAGGAGUUCUAUCCCACCGCUGGGCAUGUCUACGUGUGCGGGUACGACAUUGUGGAGGAAAGUCGCGACGCGCUCCAGUGCAUCGGGUAUUGCCCCCAGUUCGAUGCAACGCUCGACCUGCUGACGGUGGAGGAGCACCUAAGUGUCUUCGCCGGCAUCCGCGGCAUCGUGCGGGAGCAGCAGAAGGACGUCGUGCGCGCGCUGCUGCAGCUGACCGGUCUGCGCGAAUACCGUCACACGACGUCGGCAGCGUUGUCGGGCGGCAACCGCCGGAAGCUGAGCGUCGCACUGUCGCUGAUCGGUGGGCCGCCGGUGGUCAUCUUCGACGAGCCGUCGGCGGGCAUGGAUCCCGUCGCUCGGCGUGAGAUAUGGACGUCGAUGCAGGCCAUUCGGCACCGCUGCUCAAUUAUUUUGUGCACGCACCACCUCGAGGAGGUAGAAGCCCUUGCCGACUGUGUGGCCAUCAUGGUGGACGGGCGACUGCGCUGCAUCGGCAGCAAGGUGCAUCUGAGGCAGAAGUACGGCAGCGGCUUUGAGAUGACCAUCCGCGUGCAGCCACCGACCACCGUCGACGUGAGCUCCUCCACCGCGGCGGAUGCGAGGCGGCGCAAGCGAGCUGCCGAGGCGGCGGCGCUGGAGGCGAUUAAAGCGCGGCUCAUUGCUUUCGUCACUUCCUCGUUUCCGUCCUCAGAGGUCAGCGAGGUGCGUGGCAAGCGACUUGUCUUUACACUGCCCAAGAACACGAACCUGCCGAGCGUCUUCCAGUGUGUGCAGGCAAACCGCGCGGCACUCUGCAUCUCUGACUACACGGUGUCACAGACAAGUAUUGAGCAGAUAUUCAUGCGCGUCAGCGACGAGGUGGAGAGGGCGGAGAAGGUUCGCGCCGCCUUGUCAGAGCGGCGGCGUGAUGCCGAGAACGCCUUGCGACUGAAGCAUGAACAGAUGCACCUCAAGGGAGAAGAGUCUUCCGAGGAGCAACGUGCAUAGUUGUGAGCUGCGCUCAUGGCUGCCAAGCCAGGAAGCCCAAGCGAGGGCGCGCAUGGAAAAUGACGCUGCGCAGCCUUGAAGCGGGCUUCCUCCUACGUAGUUGGACAGUCCCCCCCCCCUCCCUGUGUUUCCCGGUGCUUCCGUGUGUUGCCAUACACGUCAGGUCCACGCGACUGCACGCCGUGCUCGUGACUCGCCAUUUUAUUCGGCCUCCCCCUUCCCCCCUUUCCCUCCCUCGUGGGGGGGGGGAGGAGGGGCGGCCUUUGCGUUCCUGUAAAUUUAUGAGGUGCUCUCACCCUACCUCUCCUGAACAGCUGCCAUUCCAUGAUGCGUGUGCACAUAUAGCUGGUAGUUGGAUAUCUGUAUGUCUAUAUGUAUGUAUACAUGUAUAUGUAUAUGCAUGUGUAUGUAUAUAUGCGUAUAUAAAUGUUUUUGUGUACCUACGUGCACCUGUAUGUAUAUCUAUGCGUGUCUAUUAUAUGUGGAAGUAUGCAUCUUGUGUUUAGCAGCGUGCUAUCCUCCCUUUCUCUCUCUCACACCCCUCGAAAGAAGCGAUGCGCAUGUGCGCAUGCCACUCUAGGCCCCACUGCGAGUCUGCCGCUUUCUUGUGCGUUUCUGUCUGUGUUUACGUGAAUAUGUCUGCUGCUCGUUGCCUGUCACGCCGUGUAGGUGGUGGUGUGUGGCCUUGAUCCCCUCUCGGCGCUCGUGAUGAUGUGAGUGUCUCGCUGUCCGCGCGUGGGUCUUCGGGUAUAUGUGCCUCUGUUAUACGACGCGCUAUGUCGCUCGCAUUUUCAGUUUUUCAUCUGUUGGCCUUCCGCGCGGGGCUGCUGCGCGCACCUUCCAGACGAAGAGAAAGCCGGCCGCAUGCAGGCAGCGACUCGCCGGCGCUGCGGAGCCCUCUCACCCGCUGUGGACAGACGGUACAGCACCGACAGACAGCGCGUCAGGAGCGGCCGCGAUGCUUGCAAAAUGCAAAUUACAGCCAACGAUGCGGCGACAGGAGCCCGCGCGACCCCCUCCCCCCUUGCCUGCCGCUGCCGCGCUGGAUGUGAAGCACCGGAACCAAAACCUGACCUGCUGCGAAGACAGAUCGAUUAACUAAGGCAGGGGGAAGUAAAGCAUUGCCGCCGUUACGGACUUGCUCUCCCUCCUCGUGGCACUCUCACAGGCCCUACGGCGGUGAUGGGGAUGGCGUGCCGCGACGUAUCUGGGCACAUACGCUGGCGCCAUCAGCCCGCCGCCGUCGUCGUCGUCGUCGCGCGUCUCUCACCUCGGCUUGUCGUUGGCUAUUGCGAGCUGGUGCAGCAGGGCGAAGCUGACAAGCUCGCGACAUCGGCAGUGAAGGAGGGGCCGGCGCCAACUGCACGGAUCGCGGACUUGGGUACUGUCCUUAGACGCGAGGUCGAUAGCCGCAUAUCCGCUCCCCCUAAAAAAAAACCGCGGUGCACGAUGCGACACGCCACGGCAAGAGGUGCUUGGCGACAGUCGUCCCACACCCGAGGAACACGGAUGCUGAGCUCGCGAGGCCGCAGGAGACCAUCUUCACGCAGUCCCGCACAGACACCUGUCCGUGCAUUUUGGAUCGCUGCAGCGGCGGGUGGCUGGCGGUGACAACAUGGGGCGCAGAUGGUGUGCUGCCUAUUACGCCGCCGGCAUUGUGGCACCCACCCACCCCCGCCUGCUGCUUGUGCCAUGAGGGCGGCCGGCCCGGCGCUGUGCCCGGUAUGCUACGCGGGAUUCGCGGAUCGCUUGAAGCUGACAGCGCGCCUCGACUGGGGCAAUGAUCUGACUGCGCGCAUCUCACUCGCGCUGCACGGGCGCCCCCCCGAUGGGGUGUCUGUGGCCGCACCCCCACACCCUCUGUGCCCCCGUCGGUACGGCAGGCUGUGGGCUCUUUGUGCGCUGGCACCUGCCGAUGCACGGGCCCCCUCUGCUGGGCACACCCGCCCCGGUGAGAGGCGUACGGGCUGAGGUGAUGGUAGCGGUGUGCCCCCCCCCUUCCCCCCCCAUUGCCACAGACUCGCAGCAACGCCCCACCUGUCGCGGCACAUGCGGGCAGUCCAUCCAGGCAUGCCCUCCCCCCUCUGGCGGCACGGACGGAAGUGGAAGAUGCAGACAGCGGGUCCCCCGACAACAACGUCGUGGAACAGGCCCCAGGAUGCAAAACGCAAGCACUGUGCGCACGCGCUGCCAUGCACAGCUGGCAUGGUGUAUCACAUUCAAGCAAGGCAUCCAGAUAUGAGCAGGGCAAGAGAGUGAUGGGCGGAGAGAGGCGGGGGAGAUGCGUACGGAUCAAUCCCACACUGCACGCGUGCAAAACAUGCGGCAUCUGCUACAUCCGACCGGGUGGGCGGGUGCGACGCAGGUGCCGGAAGCAUGAGGGCAACACCCCCAAAUUAUACCAUCGAGUCUUCCAGACUCCGCUGUGGAGAGCCUCCACAUCAUAUUGUGGAAUUCGACGGUUUGAAGCUGCUCGGAGAGAAGCGUGGCACACAGGCAGGAUGUGCAGGGUCUCAGCGGGCCCUGGCCUGAGGCUCAUCCGGCAUGCACCUAGUCUGCCCUCCUCUAAUAGCUGCACGACGGACACCAUCGCUUCCUCCCUCGGGCAGCACCUUGAACGGGUCCCGCGUUGGAUCAAGACAUGGAGUCCAUCCAAGUGCGUGUGGCGCCGCAGGUGCCCGAAGGAAUGGACGCGGAAGAACGAGUCUAUGCGACAUAUCGACCCGGCUCGACGGCUGGACGGCAUGUCCUGGUCGGCCAGGAUGUCGCUGCACCUCAACGGCCGUCAGCUGAGCUGAGGUGGUGUGCACGCGCGUGUAUGUGCUGCUGGCUUAUUCUGUGAGUGGCAGGACCGUGGACAUGGCGGACGCAUGGCACCAUAAAAUGCUGCGCUGCUGACCAUCCAUGCCGUCUGUUGUUCCGUUGUGAUUGCUAUUAUGCAUCGUGUGC